UUAAGCGACUAAGCGUACACGGUGGAUGCCCUGGCAGUCAGAGGCGAUGAAGGACGUGCUAAUCUGCGAAAAGCGUCGGUAAGGUGAUAUGAACCGUUACAGCCGGCGAUGUCCGAAUGGGGAAACCCAGUGCAAUUCGUUGCACUAUCGUUAACUGAAUACAUAGGUUAACGAGGCGAACCGGGGGAACUGAAACAUCUAAGUACCCCGAGGAAAAGAAAUCAACCGAGAUUCCCCCAGUAGCGGCGAGCGAACGGGGAGCAGCCCAGAGUCUGAAUCAGCUUGUGUGUUAGUGGAACGGUCUGGAAAGUCCGACGGUACAGGGUGAUAGUCCCGUACACCAAAAUGCACAGGUUGUGAACUCGAAGAGUAGGGCGGGACACGUGGUAUCCUGUCUGAAUAUGGGGGGACCAUCCUCCAAGGCUAAAUACUCCUGACUGACCGAUAGUGAACCAGUACCGUGAGGGAAAGGCGAAAAGAACCCCGGCGAGGGGAGUGAAAAAGAACCUGAAACCGUGUACGUACAAGCAGUGGGAGCACCCUUUAGGGUGUGACUGCGUACCUUUUGUAUAAUGGGUCAGCGACUUAUAUUCUGUAGCAAGGUUAACCGUAUAGGGGAGCCGCAGGGAAACCGAGUCUUAACUGGGCGUUAAGUUGCAGGGUAUAGACCCGAAACCCGGUGAUCUAGCCAUGGGCAGGUUGAAGGUUGGGUAACACUAACUGGAGGACCGAACCGACUAAUGUUGAAAAAUUAGCGGAUGACUUGUGGCUGGGGGUGAAAGGCCAAUCAAACCGGGAGAUAGCUGGUUCUCCCCGAAAGCUAUUUAGGUAGCGCCUCGUGAACUCAUCUUCGGGGGUAGAGCACUGUUUCGGCUAGGGGGUCAUCCCGACUUACCAACCCGAUGCAAACUACGAAUACCGAAGAAUGUUAUCACGGGAGACACACGGCGGGUGCUAACGUCCGUCGUGAAGAGGGAAACAACCCAGACCGCCAGCUAAGGUCCCAAAGUCACAGUUAAGUGGGAAACGAUGUGGGAAGGCACAGACAGCCAGGAUGUUGGCUUAGAAGCAGCCAUCAUUUAAAGAAAGCGUAAUAGCUCACUGGUCGAGUCGGCCUGCGCGGAAGAUGUAACGGGGCUAAACUGUGCACCGAAGCUGCGGCAGCGACACUAUGUGUUGUUGGGUAGGGGAGCGUUCUGUAAGCCUGCGAAGGUGGCCUGUGAGGGUUGCUGGAGGUAUCAGAAGUGCGAAUGCUGACAUAAGUAACGAUAAUGCGGGUGAAAAGCCCGCACGCCGGAAGACCAAGGGUUCCUGUCCAACGUUAAUCGGGGCAGGGUGAGUCGACCCCUAAGGCGAGGCCGAAAGGCGUAGUCGAUGGGAAACAGGUUAAUAUUCCUGUACUUGGUGUUACUGCGAAGGGGGGACGGAGAAGGCUAUGUUAGCCGGGCGACGGUUGUCCCGGUUUAAGCAUGUAGGCGGAGGUUCCAGGUAAAUCCGGUACCUUUUUAACGCUGAGGUGUGAUGACGAGGCACUACGGUGCUGAAGUAACAAAUGCCCUGCUUCCAGGAAAAGCCUCUAAGCAUCAGGUAACAUUAAAUCGUACCCCAAACCGACACAGGUGGUCAGGUAGAGAAUACCAAGGCGCUUGAGAGAACUCGGGUGAAGGAACUAGGCAAAAUGGUGCCGUAACUUCGGGAGAAGGCACGCUGAUAUGUAGGUGAAGCCCCUGCGGGUGGAGCUGAAAUCAGUCGAAGAUACCAGCUGGCUGCAACUGUUUAUUAAAAACACAGCACUGUGCAAACACGAAAGUGGACGUAUACGGUGUGACGCCUGCCCGGUGCCGGAAGGUUAAUUGAUGGGGUUAUCCGUAAGGAGAAGCUCUUGAUCGAAGCCCCGGUAAACGGCGGCCGUAACUAUAACGGUCCUAAGGUAGCGAAAUUCCUUGUCGGGUAAGUUCCGACCUGCACGAAUGGCGUAAUGAUGGCCAGGCUGUCUCCACCCGAGACUCAGUGAAAUUGAACUCGCUGUGAAGAUGCAGUGUACCCGCGGCAAGACGGAAAGACCCCGUGAACCUUUACUAUAGCUUGACACUGAACAUUGAGCCUUGAUGUGUAGGAUAGGUGGGAGGCUUUGAAGCGUGGACGCCAGUCUGCGUGGAGCCAACCUUGAAAUACCACCCUUUAAUGUUUGAUGUUCUAACGUUGGCCCCUUAUCGGGGUUGCGGACAGUGUCUGGUGGGUAGUUUGACUGGGGCGGUCUCCUCCCAAAGAGUAACGGAGGAGCACGAAGGUUAGCUAAUCCUGGUCGGACAUCAGGAGGUUAGUGCAAUGGCAUAAGCUAGCUUGACUGCGAGCGUGACGGCGCGAGCAGGUGCGAAAGCAGGUCAUAGUGAUCCGGUGGUUCUGAAUGGAAGGGCCAUCGCUCAACGGAUAAAAGGUACUCCGGGGAUAACAGGCUGAUACCGCCCAAGAGUUCAUAUCGACGGCGGUGUUUGGCACCUCGAUGUCGGCUCAUCACAUCCUGGGGCUGAAGUAGGUCCCAAGGGUAUGGCUGUUCGCCAUUUAAAGUGGUACGCGAGCUGGGUUUAGAACGUCGUGAGACAGUUCGGUCCCUAUCUGCCGUGGGCGCUGGAGAAUUGAGGGGGGCUGCUCCUAGUACGAGAGGACCGGAGUGGACGCAUCACUGGUGUUCGGGUUGUCAUGCCAAUGGCAUUGCCCGGUAGCUAAAUGCGGAAGAGAUAAGUGCUGAAAGCAUCUAAGCACGAAACUUGCCCCGAGAUGAGUUCUCCCUGAGACUUUAAGUCUCCUGAAGGAACGUUAAAGACGAUGACGUUGAUAGGUCGGGUGUGUAAGCGUAGCGAUACGUUGAGCUAACCGAUACUAAUGAACCGUGAGGCUUAACCUU
This 2905-nucleotide ribosomal RNA is filed under the name Klebsiella aerogenes. Its description in RNAcentral is "23S ribosomal RNA". It matches the Rfam family "Bacterial large subunit ribosomal RNA". Lineage: Bacteria; Pseudomonadati; Pseudomonadota; Gammaproteobacteria; Enterobacterales; Enterobacteriaceae. The record is from RNAcentral.